GAUGAAGAACGUAGCGAAAUGCGAUAAGUAAUGUGAAUUGCAGAAUUCAGUGAAUCAUCGAAUCUUUGAGCGCACAUUGCGCUCCCUGGUAUUCCGGGGAGCAUGCCUGUUCGAGCGUCAUUACAACCCUCAAGCUCUGCUUGGUGUUGGGCCCCGCCGCCCCGGCGGGCCCUAAAGUCGGUGGCGGUGCCGUCCGGCUCCGAGCGUAGUAAUUUUUCUCGCUUUGGAGGCCCGGGCGCGUGCUUGCCAUCAACCCCCAAUAUUUUUCAGGUUGACCUCGGAUCAGGUAGGGAUACCCGCUGAACUUAAGCAUAUCAAUAAGCGGAGGA
This 329-nucleotide unclassified non-coding RNA is filed under the name soil metagenome. Its description in RNAcentral is "partial contains 5.8S ribosomal RNA, internal transcribed spacer 2, and large subunit ribosomal RNA". The stretch from base 1 to 120 matches the Rfam family "5.8S ribosomal RNA", at positions 35 to 154 of the family's 154-position model. The record is from RNAcentral.